GUAGGUGGCAAGCGUUGUCCGGAAUUAUUGGGCGUAAAGCGCGCGCAGGCGGUCCUUUAAGUCUGAUGUGAAAGCCCACGGCUCAACCGUGGAGGGUCAUUGGAAACUGGGGGACUUGAGUACAGGAGAGGAAAGCGGAAUUCCAAGUGUAGCGGUGAAAUGCGUAGAGAUUUGGAGGAACACCAGUGGCGAAGGCGGCUUUCUGGUCUGUAACUGACGCUGAGGCGCGAAAGCGUGGGGAGCAAACAGGAUUAGAUACCCUGGUAGUCCACGCCGUAAACGAUGAGUGCUAAGUGUUAGGGGGUUUCCCGCCCCCCUUAGUGCUGCAGCUAACGCAUUAAGCACUCCGCCUGGGGAGUACGGCCGCAAGGCUG
RNAcentral lists this ribosomal RNA (374 nucleotides) under uncultured organism. Its description in RNAcentral is "partial 16S ribosomal RNA". It matches the Rfam family "Bacterial small subunit ribosomal RNA", at positions 527 to 896 of the family's 1533-position model. The record is from RNAcentral.